RNAcentral lists this small nuclear RNA (107 nucleotides) under Balaenoptera musculus (blue whale). Lineage: Eukaryota; Metazoa; Chordata; Mammalia; Artiodactyla; Balaenopteridae. The record is from RNAcentral.
GUGCUUGCUUCGGCAGCACAUAUACUAAAAAUGGAACAAUACAGAGAAGAUUAGCAUAGCCCCUGUGCAAGGAUGACAUGCAAAUUUGUGAAGUGUUCCGUAUUUUU